AAGGCGCUGCGAUCUUUCUCAUCGUCUCUCAAAUCAUUCCUGUAACCUCAUUCCUGCAAAUCAUUCCUAUAAAUCAAUUCUCAUUUUCGCACCUCUAACCUCGUACAACAAUAGAACCUUAUCAUCUUCGCACUUCUUCCUCUGAUUAUCAUCACCAUGUUGGGUUCCGUCGAAUCCGAUUCUUCAUCUUCUUCUGCUCCCGCAGUUCACAUCAUCUACGGCGAAAAGCCUUAGGAAGAGGAGCCUAAGGCUCACGACAUCCUAACCCUCAUUUCGGUUUUUGGCAGUGAAAAUGUUGAGAGGGUUUUGACAAGAAAAGCUUCAUGGUGAUGAUAAUCAGCCAUGAUGAACACGUACAACAAUAGAAUCGAAGAACCCAAGAACCUUGAUUUUGCAAGAGAGAAGAAUCUUCCACAGAAUAAUCACUUAUUCCUGGUUAAUGAUCAAGUUGGACUUUCACAAAAUUCCUCGUCUCAGAAGAAUCAAACUGAUUUGAUGCUUUUUUCACGUUUAUUGGAUGAUGAAAGAAGUCUUGGGUUAGCAGGCAUCAAAUGGGUAUUUAAUAUUAUUUUAAAGCACUUCAAUGUUUGUUAUUUUUUCUUAAUUUUUGUAUUCAACUUAUCUAUUAUGUUAAUGCGACUCUUUGGGACCUUUGAUCUUGGCAUGCCAACAAAGAAAUGCAUUGACAGAAGCUGAUUUGGAGCUUUUAACUCCAAACAUGAUUGUAUCCAGAUUUAUUGUCUUAAAUUACUAAACAUGUAAUUAAUUGAAAAUACAUAGUACGUAUCUCACCAUAUACAUUGUUAAAUAGUUAGUUUAAUUAUAUUGGUAGAUGAUUUUUUUUAUUUGCAUGUAUUUGCAGGGUGGAAUUCUGCUAGGUCCAUUGACAUUUGGGAAGAAACACAAACUACCUGCACCACAUAUUCUCAUCAUGUAUGCUUGACAAAAAAUCAUCGACGACGCAGACAAAGUCUGAUUCGGUCAAUUCCUUGUCUUUCGAGGGAGUCGCACUAUCAAUAACAACAUUUUUUAUUUCAGUGCACAUCCUUGCCGAACUC
This is a long non-coding RNA of Vicia villosa (hairy vetch), 1058 nucleotides long. RefSeq lists it as uncharacterized. The record is from RefSeq and is a predicted model, not a curated record. The transcript is spliced from 3 exons. NCBI's taxonomy places the organism in Eukaryota, Viridiplantae, Streptophyta, Magnoliopsida, Fabales, Fabaceae.